GACAGAGAUGGCAAGCGUUGUUCGGAUUCAUUGGGUGUAAAGGGUGCGUAGGCGGCUCGUUAAGUCACAUGUGAAAUCCUAUAGCUCAACUAUAGAACUGCAUGUGAUACUGGCGGGCUAGAGUCUCCAAGAGGAAGAUGGAAUUCUCGGUGUAAGGGUGAAAUCUGCAGAUAUCGAGAGGAACACCAACGGCGAAGGCAAUCUUCUGGGGGAUGACUGACGCUGAGAGCACGAAAGCCAGGGGAGCAAACGGG
Molecule: ribosomal RNA, 254 nt
Filed under: uncultured bacterium
Lineage: Bacteria
Description: partial 16S ribosomal RNA
Rfam family: Bacterial small subunit ribosomal RNA
Source: RNAcentral